This 563-nucleotide ribosomal RNA is filed under the name Septoria sp. RHS34913. RNAcentral describes it as "eukaryotic LSU rRNA". The stretch from base 203 to 356 matches the Rfam family "5.8S ribosomal RNA". The record is from RNAcentral. Lineage: Eukaryota; Fungi; Ascomycota; Dothideomycetes; Mycosphaerellales; Mycosphaerellaceae.
UGGAAGUAAAAGUCGUAACAAGGUCUCCGUAGGUGAACCUGCGGAGGGAUCAUUACUGAGUGAGGGCCUUCGGGCUCGACCUCCAACCCUUUGUGGACACAACUUGUUGCUUCGGGGGCGACCCUGCCGUUUCUGACGGCGAGCGCCCCCGGAGGCCUUCAAACACUGCAUCUUUGCGUCGGAGUUUAAGCAAAUUAAACAAAACUUUCAACAACGGAUCUCUUGGUUCUGGCAUCGAUGAAGAACGCAGCGAAAUGCAAUAAGUAAUGUGAAUUGCAGAAUUCAGUGAAUCAUCGAAUCUUUGAACGCACAUUGCGCCCUUUGGUAUUCCGAAGGGCAUGCCUGUUCGAGCGUCAUUUCACCACUCAAGCCUGGCUUGGUAUUGGGCGCCGCGGUCAAUCCGCGCGCCUCAAAGUCUCCGGCUGAGCUGUCCGUCUCUAAGCGUUGUGAUUUCAUUAAUCGCUUUGGAGUGCAGGCGGCGGCGGCCGUUAAAUCUUUCACAAGGUUGACCUCGGAUCAGGUAGGGAUACCCGCUGAACUUAAGCAUAUCAAUAAGCGGAGGA